UACGUAGGUGGCAAGCGUUAUCCGGAUUUAUUGGGCAUAAAGGGAACGCAGGCGGUCUUUUAAGUCUGAUGUGAAAGCCUUCGGCUUAACCGGAGUAGUGCAUUGGAAACUGGGAGACUUGAGUGCAGAAGAGGAGAGUGGAACUCCAUGUGUAGCGGUGGAAUGCGUAGAUAUAUGGAAGAACACCAGUGGCGAAAGCGGCUCUCUGGUCUGUAACUGACGCUGAGGUUCGAAAGCGUGGGUAGCAAACAGG
RNAcentral lists this ribosomal RNA (253 nucleotides) under uncultured bacterium. RNAcentral's name for it is "partial 16S ribosomal RNA". It matches the Rfam family "Bacterial small subunit ribosomal RNA", at positions 524 to 776 of the family's 1533-position model. The record is from RNAcentral.